GGCGCAUGGUGGAUGCCUAGGCUCUGAGAGGCGAUGAAGGACGUGGUAAGCUGCGAUAAGCCAGGGGGAACUGCACACGAGUGAUAUAUCCCUGGAUCUCCGAAUGGGACAACCCAGUACGCUGAAGGCGUAUUAUCUCGAAAGAGAAGCCAACCCGCUGAACUGAAACAUCUAAGUAGGCGGAGGAAAAGAAAAUAAACAAAAUGAUUCCCUAAGUAGUGGCGAGCGAACGGGGAAGAGCCCAAACCUGUGGGGCGUGCUCCAUGGGGGUUGUAGGACUGCAUUUAGAAACACUCAUCAAGCUGAACCAUCUGGAAAGUUGGGCCAUAGGGCGUGAAAGCCGCGUAAGCGUACAUUGAGUGGGACGAGCAGUAUCCUGAGUAGGGCGGGACCGGAGAAAUCCUGCCUGAAUCUGCCAGCACCAUCUGGUAAGGCUAAAUACUCCUCAGAGACCGAUAGUGAACCAGUACCGUAAGGGAAAGGUGAAAAGCACCCUGAAUAAGGGAGUGAAAUAGUACCUGAAACCGUGCGCCUACAAGCGGUCGGAGCUACGUUUACGUAGUGACGGCGUGCCUUUUGCAUAAUGAGCCUACGAGUUGCUCCUCACUGGCGAGGUUAAGUUCUUAUUUAACGGAGCCGUAGCGAAAGCGAGUCCGAACAGGGCGUCCAAUUAAGUCAGUGGGGGCAGACGCGAAACUUUGUGAUCUAUCCAUGGGCAGGAUGAAGGUGGGGUAACACCCAGUGGAGGUCCGAACCCAUUAGCGUUGAAAAGCUAUGGGAUGACCUGUGGAUAGGGGUGAAAGGCCAAUCAAACUGAGAGAUAGCUCGUUCUCCCCGAAAUGUUUUUAGGAACAGCGUUGCAUUAAUUAGAGUUUAUGAGAGGUAGAGCUACUGAUUGGGCUAGGGGGCUUCACCGCCUACCAAACCCUGACAAACUCCGAAUGCUCAUAAAUGCUAUGCAGCAGUGAGGCUGCGGGCGCUAAGGUCCGUGGCCGAGAGGGAAAUAACCCAGAAUAGCAGCUAAGGUCCCCAAUACAUGGUUAAGUUGGACAAACGAGGUGGCGUUUCUAUAACAGCCAGGAUGUUGGCUUGGAAGCAGCCAUUCAUUUAAAGAGUGCGUAACAGCUCACUGGUCGAGAGACGCCGCGCGGAAAAUAAUCGGGCAUCAAACCAUGAACCGAAGCUCUAUGAUUGCACUUUGAGUGUAUAUCGGUAGGGGAGCAUUGAAACCUGCGUUGAAGGUGAUGGGUGACCAUUGCUGGAGUGGUUUCAAACGAAAAUGUAGGCAUAAGUAACGAUAAUUAAGGUGAAAAACCUUAACGCCGAAAGUCUAAGGGUUCCUGAUCAACGUUAAUCGGAUCAGGGUUAGUCGGGUCCUUAGGUGAACCCGAAAGGGGUAGCUGAUGGAAAGCUGGUUAAUAUUCCAGCACCCACUGUAGUUUCGAUGGGGUGACGCAGUAUUGAACCUUCCCCGCACUUACGGAAUAGUGCGGUUAACCGUGUAGCUAUAGGUUUUGCAGGCAAAUCCGCAAGACCUGGCAAAGCGGGAAAGUACACCAAAGCUUCGGCUGCGGUGAGUGAAGUUAAAAGCUGCCGAGAAAAACCUCUAAGGUUAGGCUACAGCGGCCCGUACCGCAAACCGACACAGGUAGACGGGAUGAAUAUUCUCAGGCGCUCGGGUGAGCCGUGGAGAAGGAACUAGGCAAAUUGACGCUGUAACUUCGGGAUAAGGCGUACCAUAGCGAUAUGGUCACAGUAAAAUGGUUCAACCAACUGUUUAACAAAAACACAGGGCUCUGCAAAAUCGAAAGAUGACGUAUAGGGCCUGAUACCUGCCCGGUGCUGGAAGGUUAAGGAAGGGUGUUCGAGGGUAACCUCAAAGCUCCUGACUGAAGCCCCAGUAAACGGCGGCCGUAACAAUAACGGUCCUAAGGUAGCGAAAUUCCUUGUCGGGUAAGUUCCGACCUGCACGAAUGGUCUAAUGAGUUGAACACUGUCUCCUCCACGAGCCCGGUGAAAUUGUAGUAUCGGUGAAGAUGCCGGUUACCCGCCACGGGACGGAAAGACCCCGUGAACCUUCACUACAACUUUGCAUUGAUUUUGAACAACGGGUGUGUAGGAUAGUUGGGACGCUAUGAAGCAGCCUCGCCAGGGGUUGUGGAGCGGUCGUUGAAAUACCAACCUCUCUUUGUUUAGAGUCUAAUCCCUUUCGAGGGAAACAGUGCAUGGUGGGUAGUUUGACUGGGGUGGUCGCCUCCUAAAGUGUAACGGAGGCUUGCAAAGGUUCCCUCAGUACGGUUGGUAAUCGUACGCAGAGCGCAUCAGUAUAAGGGAGCUUGACUGUGAGACCUACAAGUCGAGCAGGGACGAAAGUCGGCUGAAGUGAUCCGGUGGUUUCUAUAUGGAAAGGCCAUCGCUCAAAGGAUAAAAGGUACUCCGGGGAUAACAGGCUGAUCUUUCCCAAGAGCUCAUAUCGACGGAAAGGUUUGGCACCUCGAUGUCGGUUCGUCACAUCCUGGGGCUGGAGAAGGUCCCAAGGGUUCGGCUGUUCGCCGAUUAAAGUGGCACGUGAACUGGGUUCAGAACGUCGCAAGACAGUUCGGUCCCUAUCUGUGGUGGGCGCAAGAAAAUUGAGUGGACAUGACCUUAGUACGAGAGGACCGGGUCGUACGUACCGCUGGUGUAUCGGUUGUGCCGCCAGGUGCAGUGCCGAGUAGCUAUGUACGGACAGGAUAAACGCUGAAAGCAUCUAAGCGUGAAACCUUCCACAAGAUGAGUUUUCUUUUAAGGGCCGCAGCAGACUACUGCGUUGAUAGGCUACAGGUGUAAUCGUAGUAAUACGUUCAGCCGAGUAGUACUAAUUGCCCGU
This 2869-nucleotide ribosomal RNA is filed under the name Metorchis orientalis. Its description in RNAcentral is "bacterial LSU rRNA". It matches the Rfam family "Bacterial large subunit ribosomal RNA". The record is from RNAcentral. Lineage: Eukaryota; Metazoa; Platyhelminthes; Trematoda; Opisthorchiida; Opisthorchiidae.